UUUGCUUUGUAAAAUACCAGAUUGGGGAAUUUUUUUAUUAAAAAAACAACAACAACAAACAGAUUGGGUAAGAUCAGGGCCUCCCCUGGCUCUUUCACACUUUUAGCCGUGACUUUAGCCAAUUGCAAGAUCUUGGAAUCAUUUCAUAGCCCAAGUGCAUUGGGAAGUAACAGUAAAGCAGAGUACCUACAGUCCAUGAAGUUGAGAAAUGAAGAAAUGCAGCUCUGAAUUGUUUAAUACGGUGUGUGGGGAAAACAUUGUGGAUAUGAAGCAUAGAAAUCAUGUGUCAAUGUGAAGUAACAGUAACACAGAAUGGCUGGAGACCAGUAACUUAAGAACUGAAGAGAUGCAGGUCAUUGUUCUAUAUGGUGAUUGAUGGAACUAUGGUGCAGUUUUGAAUUGAUAAGGUGUGCAGUUACAGAAAAGCAGAAUAGCUACACACCAUGAAAUUUAGAAAAUGAAGAGAUGCAUGUGUCUGUUCAGCAUGGUGUAUAUGGGAAACAUUGUGGGUCGCAGACAUCUGUUCAGCAUGGUGUAUAUGGGAAACAUUGUGGGUUGCAGACAUCUGUUCAGCAUGGUGUAUAUGGGAAACAUUGUGGGUCGCAGACAUGAAAUGAUUUGUGUGAAGUAACAGUAAAGCAGAAUGGCUACAGACAAUUAGUUCAGAAUUGAAGAAGAGAUGCAGGUCUUUGUUCUAUAUGGUGUAUGAGGGAACCAUGGUGGAAAUUUGGAUUUCAUGGCAGUCAUAGAAAUAUCUAAUAAGUCUGUUCUACAGUGAUGUGUGUACCAGUCUGUCAGACUUUUACCUGUCUGUCCAGUCGACAAAUUCGCAAUAGAUGCGUAGAUUCUCAAACAAUUUGGCAGAGUUUUCACAGUUACUAUGACAGAUUGCAAAAAAUGU
Long non-coding RNA from Mercenaria mercenaria, 901 nucleotides. RefSeq lists it as uncharacterized. NCBI's taxonomy places the organism in Eukaryota, Metazoa, Mollusca, Bivalvia, Venerida, Veneridae. The transcript has 6 exons. The record is from RefSeq and is a predicted model, not a curated record.